CCUACGGGAGGCAGCAGUAGGGAAUAUUGCUCAAUGGGCGAGACCCUGAAGCAGCAACGCCGCGUGGAGGAUGAAGGUUUUCGGAUUGUAAACUCCCUUUGAUAGAGAAGAUAAUGACGGUAUCUAACGAAUAAUCAACGGCUAACUCCGUGCCAGCAGCCGCGGUAAUACGGAGGAUGCAAGCGUUAUACGGAAGCACUGGGCGUAAAGGGCGCGUAGGCGGGUUAGAAAGUCAGUGGUGAAAUCUUUCGGCUUAACCAUAGAACUGGAUUUGAAACUGGUAUUCUAGAGUAUAGGAGAGGUAGGUGGAAUUCGUGGUGUAGCGGUGAAAUGCGUAGAGAUCAAGAAGAAUACUGAUUGCGAAGGCAGCCUGCUAGACUAUCACUGACGCUGAUGCGCGAAAGUGUGGGUAGCAAACAGGAUUAGAUACCCUGGUAGUC
This 440-nucleotide ribosomal RNA is filed under the name uncultured bacterium. RNAcentral's name for it is "partial 16S ribosomal RNA". It matches the Rfam family "Bacterial small subunit ribosomal RNA", at positions 338 to 795 of the family's 1533-position model. The record is from RNAcentral.